This 223-nucleotide long non-coding RNA is filed under the name Elaeis guineensis (African oil palm). RNAcentral describes it as "long non-coding RNA (EGUI_LNC037244)". Lineage: Eukaryota; Viridiplantae; Streptophyta; Magnoliopsida; Arecales; Arecaceae. The record is from RNAcentral.
UAGCAUUAAAUCAAAAGUUAAAAUAUAUAAAUAUAACAUGAACUACAUGUUGAUCAUAUCAACAUGUUUCUAUACUAUAUCUAAUGUAUGUAUUAAACAAUAGAUCAGAUCUAUUACCUUGCAAGUUAGACGUUCUAACCUCACUUAUCCAGGCUUGAGGAUGAUGUUGCAAGCCACACACGCGUCCGGCUUCUAGGAGUCGUCCACACGAGCUCACGAAUCU